This 780-nucleotide ribosomal RNA is filed under the name Neocallimastix frontalis. Its description in RNAcentral is "partial large subunit ribosomal RNA". It matches the Rfam family "Eukaryotic large subunit ribosomal RNA", at positions 38 to 667 of the family's 3401-position model. The record is from RNAcentral. Lineage: Eukaryota; Fungi; Neocallimastigomycota; Neocallimastigomycetes; Neocallimastigales; Neocallimastigaceae.
GCAUAUCAAUAAGCGGAGGAAAAGAAACUAACAAGGAUUCCCUUAGUAACGGCGAGUGAAGCGGGAAGAGCUCAAAUUUGAAAUCUUCAAGGUUCUACCUUGACGAAUUGUAGUUUAAAGAAGUGUUUUCUGUUAGAUGAGUAGCAAAAGUUCCUUGGAAUGGGACAUCAUAGAGGGUGAGAAUCCCGUAUUUGGUUAUUCAUUCUAGCUUUGUGAUACACUUUCAAAGAGUCGGAUUGUUUGGGAAUGCAGUCCAAAAUGGGUGGUAAAUUUCAUCUAAAGCUAAAUAUUGGCGAGAGACCGAUAGCGAACAAGUACCGUGAGGGAAAGAUGAAAAGAACUUUGAAAAGAGAGUUAAACAGUACGUGAAAUUGUCAAAAGGGAAGCGUUUGACACCAGUGUUGUUUUUCCGAAAAUCAAUUACGAAUGGCUUGAUUUUGUGUUGUAUUGACCUUAUCAGCUUUCUGCACUUUUUUCGAGUCUUUCUUAAUGCACUUUUCGGUUAACAAGUCAACAUCAAUUUCUUUUGUUGUAAAAGAGUAUUCGGAAGGUGGCUUUCUUUUCGGAGAAAGUGUUUAUAGCCCUAUACUUCUACAAUCGGAGAGAUUGAGGUCUGCAGCGUAGAUCCUUUGGGGUUAGAUACACUUGUGCUAAGUUGUAGCUUUUCAUAGACAACUUGUUGACUAUGUUUAGUCAUGCGGCUUACUCGCUUGUGCUAUUUUACCUACGCUUAGGAUGUUGACAAAAUGGUUUUAAACGACCCGUCUUGAAACACGGACC